GGCCUCGUAGCUCAGGUGGAUAGAGCGGGGGUUUCCUAAACCCUGACAUGCGGGGGUUCGAGUCCUCCCGGGGCCACCA
Molecule: transfer RNA, 79 nt
Filed under: Desulfitobacterium sp.
Lineage: Bacteria; Bacillati; Bacillota; Clostridia; Eubacteriales; Desulfitobacteriaceae
Also listed under: 1 other name
Description: tRNA-Arg
Rfam family: tRNA
About the family: Transfer RNA (tRNA) molecules are approximately 80 nucleotides in length. Their secondary structure includes four short double-helical elements and three loops (D, anti-codon, and T loops). Further hydrogen bonds mediate the characteristic L-shaped molecular structure. tRNAs have two regions of fundamental functional importance: the anti-codon, which is responsible for specific mRNA codon recognition, and the 3' end, to which the tRNAs corresponding amino acid is attached (by aminoacyl-tRNA synthetases). tRNAs cope with the degeneracy of the genetic code in two manners: having more than one tRNA (with a specific anti-codon) for a particular amino acid; and 'wobble' base-pairing, i.e. permitting non-standard base-pairing at the 3rd anti-codon position.
Source: RNAcentral